Molecule: ribosomal RNA, 239 nt
Filed under: uncultured bacterium
Lineage: Bacteria
Description: partial 16S ribosomal RNA
Rfam family: Bacterial small subunit ribosomal RNA
Source: RNAcentral
CGGCGGACGGGUGAGUAACGCGUGGGUAACCGUGCCUCAUACAGGGGAGUAACAGUUGGAAACGGCUGCUAAUACCGCAUAAGCGCACAGUACCGCAUGGUACCGUGUGAAAAACUCCGGUGGUAUGAGAUGGACCCGCGUCUGAUUAGCUAGUUGGUGGGGUAACGGCCUACCAAGGCGACGAUCAGUAGCCGACCUGAGAGGGUGACCGGCCACAUUGGGACUGAGACACGGCCCAA